AGGGCUGUAGCUCAGUUGGUAGAGCACCUCGUUUACAACCGAGAAGGUCUACGGUUCGAUCCCGUAUAGCCCUA
RNAcentral lists this transfer RNA (74 nucleotides) under Chrysanthemum indicum. Its description in RNAcentral is "tRNA-Val". It matches the Rfam family "tRNA". From Rfam's summary of the family: Transfer RNA (tRNA) molecules are approximately 80 nucleotides in length. Their secondary structure includes four short double-helical elements and three loops (D, anti-codon, and T loops). Lineage: Eukaryota; Viridiplantae; Streptophyta; Magnoliopsida; Asterales; Asteraceae. The record is from RNAcentral.